UGAAUGUGCCUUCUGUCCCUCUAGCUGCAGUGCUCGCGUGUACUGCGUGGAUUGCACAGAUCAGGAAAAUCAAGGACAAGUCCCUUUGGAAUCUAAAGUCAUGCAGGCAGAGGACAGCACAGACGAAGUAUCAGCAGCAACAUCUGCCUCUUUCAGUCUCCCCAACACAGAUGAAGUAGCAGGGGCAACUCUGCUAUACUCGGUCUCUCCAAAAGCUGAUGGAGCAGCAGUGGCAACUUCAGCCCUGAUCAAUCACUUCAACAUGGGUGGAGUAGCAGGGGCAACUUCUGCCCUGCUUGAUCUCUCUCCACAGAUGAACUAGAAGUGGAAGUUUAUGCCUCAUUCAAUGACACCUACAUGGAUGGAGCAGCAGCGGCAUCUUCUGCACAAACCAAUCUCUCCAAUAGAGAUGGAGGAGUAGCAGCAACUUCUGCCCUGCUUGAUCUCUCUCACACAGAUGAACUAGAAGUGGAAGUUUAUGCCUCAUUCGAUGACACCUACAUGGAUGGAGCAGCAGCGGCAUCUUCUGCACAAACCAAUCUCUCCAACACAGAUGGAGGAGUAGCAGCAACUUCUGCCCUGCUUGAUCUCUCCAACACAGAUGGAACAGCAACAACAAUUACUGUCCUACUCCAUCUUUCCAACACGGAGUAAUAGGGGCAACUUUUGCCACACGCGAUCUCUCCAACACAGAUGGAGUAGCAAGGACAACUUCUGCCCUGCUCAGUCACUCCAACACAGAUGGAGUAGCAGCAGCAGCAACUUCUACCCUGCUCAAUCUCUCCAACACGGAUGGAGAAGCAGUGGCAACUUCUGCACCGAUCAACCUCUCAAACAGAGAUGGAGUAGCAGGAGCAAAUCCUGCCCUGCUCAAUCUCUCCUACGCACAUGGACUAGAAGCAGUACUGUGUGCCCCAUUCAAUGACUCUUACAUAGGUGGAGUAGCAGCAGCAGUUUCUGCCCUGUUUCAGUCUCUGCAACACAGAUGGAGAAGCAGUGGCAAUUUCUGCCCCAUUGGUCUGACCAAAACCUUUGAAAGUCACUCAAGCUCAGCAAAUGAUGCGCAGGGAUUUGAGACAACUUGAGCAACGGUCUUCCUGGGUAGAAAACCCCUUCUGUGCCACACUUCUCUUUGUAGAACUGCGUAAUCUUUGCUUCUCAAUAAAGUUCCUCCAUCUCACCACAA
Long non-coding RNA from Lagopus leucura (white-tailed ptarmigan), 1186 nucleotides. RefSeq lists it as uncharacterized. NCBI's taxonomy places the organism in Eukaryota, Metazoa, Chordata, Aves, Galliformes, Phasianidae. The transcript has 2 exons. The record is from RefSeq and is a predicted model, not a curated record.